Vicia faba (fava bean) is the source of this 183-nucleotide non-coding RNA. NCBI's taxonomy places the organism in Eukaryota, Viridiplantae, Streptophyta, Magnoliopsida, Fabales, Fabaceae. The record is from the annotation of a GenBank genome assembly.
AUGGCGUUUGGUCUAUUUACACAUCGACACGUGUCUCAUAAUAAAAAUAUUAAAAAAACGAUAACUCCAAAGGGACAUACGAGAACCAUCCAUAUUCUCACUAUUUCCAGUAUUCAAUCUCUCUUCAAGAUCCAUCCUUCUUCUUCCCUUAAUACCUACCGAAAUCCGUCAGACAUAAAAUAA